UACUCACGGAACCCAGGCUCUUUCUCUCA
Molecule: non-coding RNA, 29 nt
Filed under: Mus musculus (house mouse)
Lineage: Eukaryota; Metazoa; Chordata; Mammalia; Rodentia; Muridae
Source: RNAcentral